RNAcentral lists this ribosomal RNA (473 nucleotides) under uncultured bacterium. Its description in RNAcentral is "bacterial SSU rRNA". It matches the Rfam family "Bacterial small subunit ribosomal RNA", at positions 355 to 825 of the family's 1533-position model. The record is from RNAcentral.
UGGGGAAUAUUGGACAAUGGGGGAAACCCUGAUCCAGCGACGCCGCGUGUGUGAAGAAGGCCUGCGGGUUGUAAAGCACUUUCGGUGGGAACGAAGUAUGCCGGGCUAAUACCCCGGUAGGCUGACGUUACUCAAUGAAGAAGCACCGGCUAACUCUGUGCCAGCAGCCGCGGUAAUACAGAGGGUGCGAGCGUUAAUCGGAAUUACUGGGCGUAAAGGGUGCGUAGGUGGUUUGAUAAGUUAGGUGUGAAAGUCCUGGGCUUAACCUGGGGAUUGCGCCUGAUACUGUUAGACUAGAGUACUGUAGAGGAAAGUGGAAUUUCCGGUGUAGCGGUGAAAUGCGUAGAUAUCGGAAGGAACAUCAGUGGCGAAGGCGACUUUCUGGACAGAUACUGACACUGAGGCACGAAAGCAUGGGGAGCGAAACAGGAUUAGAUACCCCAGUAGUCCCUGAGCGGGCUGGCAAGGCGCAU